GACGAACGCUGGCGGCGUGCUUAACACAUGCAAGUCGAACGGAAAGGCCCUGCUUUUGUGGGGUGCUCGAGUGGCGAACGGGUGAGUAACACGUGAGUAACCUGCCCUUGACUUUGGGAUAACUUCAGGAAACUGGGGCUAAUACCGGAUAGGAGCUCCUGCUGCAUGGUGGGGGUUGGAAAGUUUCGGCGGUUGGGGAUGGACUCGCGGCUUAUCAGCUUGUUGGUGGGGUAGUGGCUUACCAAGGCUUUGACGGGUAGCCGGCCUGAGAGGGUGACCGGCCACAUUGGGACUGAGAUACGGCCCAGACUCCUACGGGAGGCAGCAGUGGGGAAUAUUGCACAAUGGGCGGAAGCCUGAUGCAGCAACGCCGCGUGCGUGAUGACGGCCUUCGGGUUGUAAACCGCUUUCGCCUGUGACGAAGCGUGAGUGACGGUAGUGGGUAAAGAAGCACCGGCUAACUACGUG
This 468-nucleotide ribosomal RNA is filed under the name uncultured bacterium. RNAcentral's name for it is "partial 16S ribosomal RNA". It matches the Rfam family "Bacterial small subunit ribosomal RNA", at positions 28 to 507 of the family's 1533-position model. The record is from RNAcentral.